GACGAACGCUGGCGGCGUGCCUAAUACAUGCAAGUUGAGCGAUGAAGAUUGGUGCUUGCACCAAUUUGAAGAGCAGCGAACGGGUGAGUAACGCGUGGGGAAUCUGCCUUUGAGCGGGGGACAACAUUUGGAAACGAAUGCUAAUACCGCAUAACAACUUUAAACAUAAGUUUUAAGUUUGAAAGAUGCAAUUGCAUCACUCAAAGAUGAUCCCGCGUUGUAUUAGCUAGUUGGUGAGGUAAAGGCUCACCAAGGCGAUGAUACAUAGCCGACCUGAGAGGGUGAUCGGCCACAUUGGGACUGAGACACGGCCCAAACUCCUACGGGAGGCAGUAGUAGGGAAUCUUCGGCAAUGGACGAAAGUCUGACCGAGCAACGCCGCGUGAGUGAAGAAGGUUUUCGGAUCGUAAAACUCUGUUGGUAGAGAAGAACGUUGGUGAGAGUGGAAAGCUCAUCAAGUGACGGUAACUACCCAGAAAGGGACGGCUAACUACGUG
Molecule: ribosomal RNA, 497 nt
Filed under: uncultured bacterium
Lineage: Bacteria
Description: partial 16S ribosomal RNA
Rfam family: Bacterial small subunit ribosomal RNA
Source: RNAcentral